CUACGGGACGCUGCAGUGAGGAAUAUUGCACAAUGGGGGGAACCCUGAUGCAGCAACGCCGCGUGGAGGAUGACGCAUUUCGGUGUGUAAACUCCUUUUAUAUGUCAAGAAAAUGACGGUAGCAUAUGAAUAAGCACCCGCUAACUCCGUGCCAGCAGCCGCGGUAAUACGGAGGGUGCAAGCGAUUAGGCGGAAUCACUGGGCGUAAAGGACGCGUAGGCGGGUUGGAAAGUCAGGUGUGAAAUCCUACAGCUUAACUGUAGAACUGCACUUGAAACUUCUAAUCUAGAGUAUGGGAGGGGGAGAUGGAAUUAGUGGUGUAGGGGUAAAAUCCGUAGAUAUCACUAGGAAUACCUAAAGCGAAGGCGAUCUCCUGGAACAUUACUGACGCUAAGGCGUGAAAGCGUGGGGAGCAAACAGGAUUAGAUACCCGGGUAGUC
Molecule: ribosomal RNA, 440 nt
Filed under: uncultured bacterium
Lineage: Bacteria
Description: partial 16S ribosomal RNA
Rfam family: Bacterial small subunit ribosomal RNA
Source: RNAcentral